This 253-nucleotide ribosomal RNA is filed under the name uncultured bacterium. RNAcentral describes it as "partial 16S ribosomal RNA". It matches the Rfam family "Bacterial small subunit ribosomal RNA", at positions 524 to 776 of the family's 1533-position model. The record is from RNAcentral.
UACGUAGGGGGCUAGCGUUGUCCGGAAUCAUUGGGCGUAAAGCGCGUGUAGGCGGCCCGGUAAGUCCGCUGUGAAAGUCGGGGGCUCAACCCUCGAAUGCCGGUGGAUACUGUCGGGCUAGAGUGCGGAAGAGGCGAGUGGAAUUCCUGGUGUAGCGGUGAAAUGCGCAGAUAUCAGGAGGAACACCAAUUGCGAAGGCAGCGCGCUGGGACGUUACUGACGCUGAGACGCGAAAGCGUGGGGAGCAAACAGG